Molecule: ribosomal RNA, 253 nt
Filed under: uncultured bacterium
Lineage: Bacteria
Description: partial 16S ribosomal RNA
Rfam family: Bacterial small subunit ribosomal RNA
Source: RNAcentral
UACGUAGGUGGCAAGCGUUGUCCGGAUUUAUUGGGCGUAAAGCGAGCGCAGGCGGUUCCUUAAGUCUGAUGUGAAAGCCCCCGGCUCAACCGGGGAAGGUCAUUGGAAACUGGGGAACUUGAGUGCAGAAGAGGAGAGUGGAAUUCCAUGUGUAGCGGUGAAAUGCGUAGAUAUAUGGAAGAACACCAGUGGCGAAGGCGACAUUCUGGUCUGUUACUGACACUGAGGCUCGAAAGCGUGGGGAGCAAACAGG